RNAcentral lists this ribosomal RNA (292 nucleotides) under uncultured bacterium. RNAcentral describes it as "partial 16S ribosomal RNA". It matches the Rfam family "Bacterial small subunit ribosomal RNA", at positions 505 to 796 of the family's 1533-position model. The record is from RNAcentral.
GUGUCAGCCGCCGCGGUAAUACGAAGGGGGCUAGCGUUGUUCGGAAUCACUGGGCGUAAAGCGCAUGCAGGCGGAUCGAUAAGUCGGGGGUGAAAGCCCGAGGCUCAACCUCGGAACUGCCUUCGAUACUGUCGAUCUUGAGUCCGGGAGAGGUGAGUGGAACUCCGAGUGUAGAGGUGAAAUUCGUAGAUAUUCGGAAGAACACCAGUGGCGAAGGCGGCUCACUGGCCCGGUACUGACGCUGAGAUGCGAAAGCGUGGGGAGCAAACAGGAUUAGAAACCCGGGUAGUCC